Molecule: long non-coding RNA, 305 nt
Organism: Sceloporus undulatus (fence lizard)
Lineage: Eukaryota; Metazoa; Chordata; Lepidosauria; Squamata; Phrynosomatidae
Exons: 2
Source: RefSeq, a predicted model, not a curated record
AGUAACAAGAAAAAGGGGGGAAUGAGAGGACCACACCCUAAAAAUGGCGCUGGCUCUGGUUUAGUUUGGGUGAAUAGGGGCACUCAAGAUGCUAGCAAAAUCAGAUGAGUUGGUAUUUAGGAAGAUGUUACCAUAUAAGGUAAUAAGGUUCAUUGGCUUCUGCGAUUGGUUUACAUUACAUGGGGUGAUGUAGGGAGAAGGUAUAAAAGAUAGAUAAGCCCGAUAGAGGGCGCUGCAGUCUUGGUAACACUCUCUGAGUGUGCUGCAGUCCUGCGCAGUAAUAAAUGGUGUUUUGUUUCUCUUGA